UACCAGCACCCCGAGUGGUCGGGACGGUUAUUGGGCCUAAAGCAUCCGUAGCCGGUCCUGCAAGUCUUCCGUUAAAUCCAGCUGCUCAACAGAUGGGCUACGGGGGAUACUACAGGGCUAGGAGGCGGGAGAGGCAAGCGGUACUUUAUGGGUAGGGGUAAAAUCCGUUGAUCCAUAGAAGACCACCAGUGGCGAAGGCGGCUUGCCAGAACGCGCUCGACGGUGAGGGAUGAAAGCUGGGGGAGCAAACCGG
RNAcentral lists this ribosomal RNA (253 nucleotides) under uncultured bacterium. Its description in RNAcentral is "partial 16S ribosomal RNA". It matches the Rfam family "Archaeal small subunit ribosomal RNA", at positions 474 to 727 of the family's 1478-position model. The record is from RNAcentral.